RNAcentral lists this ribosomal RNA (253 nucleotides) under uncultured bacterium. Its description in RNAcentral is "partial 16S ribosomal RNA". It matches the Rfam family "Bacterial small subunit ribosomal RNA", at positions 524 to 776 of the family's 1533-position model. The record is from RNAcentral.
UACAGAGGUCCCAAGCGUUGUUCGGAUUCAUUGGGCGUAAAGGGUGCGUAGGCGGCGCGGUAAGUCGGGUGCGAAAUCUCGGGGCUUAACUCCGAAACUGCAUUCGAUACUGCCGUGCUUGAGGACUGGAGAGGAGACUGGAAUUUACGGUGUAGCGGUGAAAUGCGUGGAUAUCGUAAGGAAGACCAGUGGCGAAGGCGGGUCUCUGGACAGUUCCUGACGCUGAGGCACGAAGGUCAGGGGAGCAAACGGG